Long non-coding RNA from Diceros bicornis minor, 616 nucleotides. RefSeq lists it as uncharacterized. Lineage: Eukaryota; Metazoa; Chordata; Mammalia; Perissodactyla; Rhinocerotidae. The record is from RefSeq and is a predicted model, not a curated record. The transcript has 3 exons.
AAGGCUUUGCCUGGGAGACCGAGGAUCUUGAAGAAGCCGGGACAGGGUUGGGCCCUGCGCUACAGACGGCUUGGCUUUAAAGGAGCCGGUGUAUACAAUUGUCAAAACAUCAAACUGAAGACUUAAGAUGUGUGCAUUCUACAAUAUAAUUAUUUCCAUACAUCAAUUUAAAGUAAAGGACAAUUUUUUAAAUAUUAAAAGAACUAAAGAUUUACCCAUUACCUCUGGAAGAAUAUCAAGGACAAUCUGAAAGGAGUUAAAAAAAAGUCUUUUGGAAUCUUCUAGUUCUGAGAAUUAUUUGCUAAAACUCAAAGGGAAACUUGAGGAAAAAACAGAAACCCAUUCUUGCUUACAUCGCGCUGCACCUACUUCUUAUAAGAGAACACUGUAUGGAAGAUUAAAAUUUUGUUAUCCUUUACUACUAUGGCUAGUUCUGUACACUCACCCAUCUAAAUUCCCAUCUGCUAGUCAGUAUUAUGGUCUAGACAUCUAUGGACACCAAUGUUCCAUGCAUCAAUUUUAAAUGAGCAUCUCUAUUUGAAAAACGUUUACUGCUAAAAGCCCCCUUUAGUCAUUACUUCUCCACCAAAGGUAACCACCACACUAACUUCUAAUA